GAUGAACGCUGGCGGCGUGCCUAAUACAUGCAAGUCGAGCGAACAGACGAGGAGCUUGCUCCUCUGACGUUAGCGGCGGACGGGUGAGUAACACGUGGAUAACCUACCUAUAAGACUGGGAUAACUUCGGGAAACCGGAGCUAAUACCGGAUAAUAUAUUGAACCGCAUGGUUCAAUAGUGAAAGACGGUUUUGCUGUCACUUAUAGAUGGAUCCGCGCCGCAUUAGCUAGUUGGUAAGGUAACGGCUUACCAAGGCAACGAUGCGUAGCCGACCUGAGAGGGUGAUCGGACACACUGGAAGUGAGACACGGUCCAGACUCCUACGGGAGGCAGCAGUAGGGAAUCUUACGCAAUGGGCGAAAGCCUGACGGAGCAACGCCGCGUGAGUGAUGAAGGUCUUCGGAUCGUAAAACUCUGUUAUUAGGGAAGAACAAAUGUGUAAGUAACUAUGCACGUCUUGACGGUACCUAAUCAGAAAGCCACGGCUAACUACGUG
RNAcentral lists this ribosomal RNA (497 nucleotides) under uncultured bacterium. Its description in RNAcentral is "partial 16S ribosomal RNA". It matches the Rfam family "Bacterial small subunit ribosomal RNA", at positions 28 to 507 of the family's 1533-position model. The record is from RNAcentral.